Struthio camelus australis is the source of this 282-nucleotide non-coding RNA. The record is from RefSeq and is a predicted model, not a curated record. Lineage: Eukaryota; Metazoa; Chordata; Aves; Struthioniformes; Struthionidae.
AGAAAUGACAGUUUUCUGACUGCUUUCCUACUUGCUACAUUGCUGGCUGGUGGGUAUGGAAAGGAGCUGCAACCUUUCUAGCUGGUUUUCAUAUUUGGGGUGGGCUACACAACAAAUUCAAGACCAGAAGACAAAAAGGCAGCUGAGGUAGCAAUUCUUCGGAAAAAUUAAGACACCUGUGUCUCUGAGGUGUUGUGAAAUGAGCAGAGAUGAGUUUUAUUUGAAGUAAGCUGAAAGGAGAAGGAUAGUCAUCCGGCUAGAACGUUGGUCUGGAGCUCAAGA